AACGAACGCUGGCGGCACGCCUAACACAUGCAAGUCGAACGAGACCUUCGGGUCUAGUGGCGCACGGGUGCGUAACGCGUGGGAACCUGCCCUUAGGUUCGGAAUAACUCCCCGAAAGGGGUGCUAAUACCGGAUAAUGUCUUCGGACCAAAGAUUUAUCGCCUUUGGAUGGGCCCGCGUUGGAUUAGCUAGUUGGUAGGGUAAAAGCCUACCAACGCGACGAUCCAUAGCUGGUCUGAGAGGAUGAUCAGCCACACUGGGACUGAGACACGGCCCAGACUCCUACGGGAGGCAGCAGUGGGGAAUAUUGGACAAUGGGCGAAAGCCUGAUCCAGCAAUGCCGCGUGAGUGAUGAAGGCCUUAGGGUUGUAAAGCUCUUUUACACGGGAUGAUAAUGACAGUACCGGGAGAAUAAGCUCCGGCUAACUCCGUG
Molecule: ribosomal RNA, 433 nt
Filed under: uncultured bacterium
Lineage: Bacteria
Description: partial 16S ribosomal RNA
Rfam family: Bacterial small subunit ribosomal RNA
Source: RNAcentral